GACGAACGCUGGCGGCGUGCUUAACACAUGCAAGUCGAACGGAAAGGCCCCUUCGGGGGUACUCGAGUGGCGAACGGGUGAGUAACACGUGAGUAACCUGCCCUUGACUUCGGGAUAACUUCAGGAAACUGGGGCUAAUACCGGAUAGGAAUCCUUGCUGCAUGGUGGGGGUUGGAAAGCUUCGGCGGUUUUGGAUGGACUCGCGGCUUAUCAGCUUGUUGGUGGGGUAGUGGCUUACCAAGGCUUUGACGGGUAGCCGGCCUGAGAGGGCGACCGGCCACAUUGGGACUGAGAUACGGCCCAGACUCCUACGGGAGGCAGCAGUGGGGAGUAUUGCACAAUGGGCGGAAGCCUGAUGCAGCAACGCCGCGUGCGGGAUGACGGCCUUCGGGUUGUAAACCGCUUUCAGCAGGGGCGAAGCUUGUGGUGACGGUACCUGCAGAAGGAGCACCGGCUAACUACGUG
Molecule: ribosomal RNA, 465 nt
Filed under: uncultured bacterium
Lineage: Bacteria
Description: partial 16S ribosomal RNA
Rfam family: Bacterial small subunit ribosomal RNA
Source: RNAcentral